AGCGAACGCUGGCGGCAGGCCUAACACAUGCAAGUCGAACGAACCUUUCGGGGUUAGUGGCGGACGGGUGCGUAACACGUGGGAACGUGCCCUUAGGUUCGGAAUAACUCAGGGAAAGGUGUGCUAAUACCGAAUGUGCUCUUCGGGGGAAAGAUUUAUCGCCUUUGGAGCGGCCCGCGUCUGAUUAGCUAGUUGGUUGGGGUAAUGGCUAACCAAGGCGACGAUCAGUAGCUGGUCUGAGAGGAUGAUCAGCCACAUUGGGACUGAGACACGGCCCAAACUCCUACGGGAGGCAGCAGUGGGGAAUCUUGCGCAAUGGGCGAAAGCCUGACGCAGCCAUGCCGCGUGAAUGAUGAAGGUCUUAGGAUUGUAAAAUUCUUUCACCGGGGACGAUAAUGACGGUACCGGGAGAAGAAGCCCCGGCUAACUUCGUG
This 434-nucleotide ribosomal RNA is filed under the name uncultured bacterium. Its description in RNAcentral is "partial 16S ribosomal RNA". It matches the Rfam family "Bacterial small subunit ribosomal RNA", at positions 29 to 507 of the family's 1533-position model. The record is from RNAcentral.